This 72-nucleotide transfer RNA is filed under the name Cavia porcellus (domestic guinea pig). It matches the Rfam family "tRNA". Rfam says of the family: Transfer RNA (tRNA) molecules are approximately 80 nucleotides in length. Their secondary structure includes four short double-helical elements and three loops (D, anti-codon, and T loops). The record is from Rfam by way of RNAcentral. Lineage: Eukaryota; Metazoa; Chordata; Mammalia; Rodentia; Caviidae.
GGGGACAUAGCUAAGUGGCACAGCAUCUGCCUGGCAAGUGUGAGGUCCUAAGUUCAAUUCCCAGUGAACCCC